ACACAAAAGUGUCAUGGUAGGAGAGCGUUCUAUGUGUGAAGAAGGUGUACCGUGAGGAGCGCUGGAACGCAUAGAAGUGAGAAUGCCGGUAUGAGUAGCGCAAGACAGGUGAGAAUCCUGUCCACCGUAAGACUAAGGUUUCCAGGGGAAGGCUCGUCCGCCCUGGGUUAGUCGGGACCUAAGGAGAGACCGAAAGGUGUAUCCGAUGGACAACAGGUUGAUAUUCCUGUACUAGAGUAUAUAGUGAUGGAGGGACGCAGUAGGCUAACUAAACCAGACGAUUGGAAGUGUCUGGUCAAACAGUGAGGUGUGAUAUGAGUCAAAUGCUUAUAUCUUUAACAUUGAGCUGUGACGAGGAGCGAAGUUUAGUAGCGAAGUUAGUGAUGUCACACUGCCAAGAAAAGCUUCUAGCGAUACAUAUACUCUACCCGUACCGCAAACCGACACAGGUAGUCGAGGCGAGUAGCCUCAGGUGAGCGAGAGAACUCUCGUUAAGGAACUCGGCAAAAUGGCCCCGUAACUUCGGGAGAAGGGGCGCUGAUUUUAGAUCAGCCGCAGUGAAUAGGCCCAAGCAACUGUUUAUCAAAAACACAGCUCUCUGCUAAAUCGUAAGAUGAUGUAUAGGGGGUGACGCCUGCCCGGUGCUGGAAGGUUAAGAGGAGUGCUUAGCGUAAGCGAAGGUAUGAAUUGAAGCCCCAGUAAACGGCGGCCGUAACUAUAACGGUCCUAAGGUAGCGAAAUUCCUUGUCGGGUAAGUUCCGACCCGCACGAAAGGCGUAAUGAUUUGGGCACUGUCUCAACGAGAGACUCGGUGAAAUUUUAGUACCUGUGAAGAUGCAGGUUACCCGCGACAGGACGGAAAGACCCCAUGGAGCUUUACUGCAGUUUGAUAUUGAGUAUCUGUACCACAUGUACAGGAUAGGUAGGAGCCUAUGAUAACGGGACGCCAGUUUCGUUUGAGGCGUUGUUGGGAUACUACCCUUGUGUUAUGGCUACUCUAACCCAGAUAGGCAAUCCCUAUCGGAGACAGUGUCUGACGGGCAGUUUGACUGGGGCGGUCGCCUCCUAAAAGGUAACGGAGGCGCCCAAAGGUUCCCUCAGACUGGUUGGAAAUCAGUCGUAGAGUGUAAAGGUAUAAGGGAGCUUGACUGCGAGAGCUACAACUCGAGCAGGGACGAAAGUCGGGCUUAGUGAUCCGGUGGUUCCGUAUGGAAGGGCCAUCGCUCAACGGAUAAAAGCUACCCUGGGGAUAACAGGCUUAUCUCCCCCAAGAGUUCACAUCGACGGGGAGGUUUGGCACCUCGAUGUCGGCUCGUCGCAUCCUGGGGCUGUAGUCGGUCCCAAGGGUUGGGCUGUUCGCCCAUUAAAGCGGCACGCGAGCUGGGUUCAGAACGUCGUGAGACAGUUCGGUCCCUAUCCGUCGCGGGCGUAGGAAAUUUGAGAGGAUCUGCUCCUAGUACGAGAGGACCAGAGUGGACUUACCGCUGGUGUACCAGUUGUCUUGCCAAAGGCAUCGCUGGGUAGCUAUGUAGGGAAGGGAUAAGCGCUGAAAGCAUCUAAGUGCGAAGCCCACCUCAAGAUGAGAUUUCCCAUGAUUUUAUAUCAGUAAGAGCCCUGAGAGAUGAUCAGGUAGAUAGGUUAGGAGUGUAAUUGUGGUGACACAUUUAGCGGACUAAUACUAAUAGCUCGAGGACUUAUCCAAAAAGGUUAAGUUAAUAAGGGCGCACGGUGGAUGCCUUGGCACUAGAAGCCGAAGAAGGACGUGACUAACGACGAAAUGCUUUGGGGAGCUGUAAGUAAGCGCUGAUCCAGAGAUGUCCGAAUGGGGGAACCCACUAGUUAAUGACUAGUAUCCAUAUCUGUUAAGGAUAUGAGAAGGAAGACGCAGUGAACUGAAACAUCUAAGUAGCUGCAGGAAGAGAAAGCAAAAGCGAUUGCCUUAGUAGCGGCGAGCGAAACGGCAGGAGGGCAAACCGAAGUGUUUACACUUCGGGGUUGUAGGACUGCGAUAUAGGAUUAAUCAUUAUAGAAGAAUUACCUGGGAAGGUAAGCCAAAGAGAGUAACAGCCUCGUAUUUAAAAUGAUAGAUUAACCUUAGCAGUAUCCUGAGUACGGCGAGACACGCGAAAUCUCGUCGGAAUCUGGGAGGACCAUCUCCCAACCCUAAAUACUCUCUAGUGACCGAUAGUGAACCAGUACCGUGAGGGAAAGGUGAAAAGCACCCCGGGAGGGGAGUGAAAUAGAACCUGAAACCGUGUGCCUACAACAAGUUCGAGCCCGUUAAUGGGUGAGAGCGUGCCUUUUGUAGAAUGAACCGGCGAGUUACGAUAUGAUGCGAGGUUAAGUUGAAGAGACGGAGCCGUAGGGAAACCGAGUCUUAAUAGGGCGCCAUAGUAUCAUGUUGUAGACCCGAAACCAUGUGACCUACCCAUGAGCAGGUUGAAGGUGAGGUAAAACUCACUGGAGGACCGAACCAGGGCACGUUGAAAAGUGCUUGGAUGACUUGUGGGUAGCGGAGAAAUUCCAAACGAACUUGGAGAUAGCUGGUUCUCUCCGAAAUAGCUUUAGGGCUAGCGUCGAUGUUAAGUCUCUUGGAGGUAGAGCACUGUUUGGGUGAGGGGUCCAUCCCGGAUUACCAAUCUCAGAUAAACUCCGAAUGCCAACGAGAUAUAAUCGGCAGUCAGACUGCGAGUGCUAAGAUCCGUAGUCGAAAGGGAAACAGCCCAGACCACCAGCUAAGGUCCCAAAAUAUAUGUUAAGUGGAAAAGGAUGUGGGGUUGCACAGACAACUAGGAUGUUAGCUUAGAAGCAGCUAUUCAUUCAAAGAGUGCGUAAUAGCUCACUAGUCGAGUGACCCUGCGCCGAAAAUGUACCGGGGCUAAAACAUAUUACCGAAGCUGUGGAUG
RNAcentral lists this ribosomal RNA (2906 nucleotides) under Streptococcus agalactiae. RNAcentral's name for it is "23S ribosomal RNA". The stretch from base 1 to 1702 matches the Rfam family "Bacterial large subunit ribosomal RNA", at positions 1209 to 2925 of the family's 2925-position model. Lineage: Bacteria; Bacillati; Bacillota; Bacilli; Lactobacillales; Streptococcaceae. The record is from RNAcentral.